GGGGAUUUAGCUCAGCAGUAUAAGCGCCUGCCUUGUAAGCAGGCAGUCGCAAGUUCAAUCCCUG
Transfer RNA from Cavia porcellus (domestic guinea pig), 64 nucleotides. It matches the Rfam family "tRNA". From Rfam's summary of the family: Transfer RNA (tRNA) molecules are approximately 80 nucleotides in length. Their secondary structure includes four short double-helical elements and three loops (D, anti-codon, and T loops). The record is from Rfam. Lineage: Eukaryota; Metazoa; Chordata; Mammalia; Rodentia; Caviidae.